GGCAUUCUUGGGUGACGCACCCUGAAAUUGGGCUGCCUCCUCUCUGGUUCCAGGGUGUCACCCGAACAGCA
Molecule: non-coding RNA, 71 nt
Organism: Myotis brandtii (Brandt's bat)
Lineage: Eukaryota; Metazoa; Chordata; Mammalia; Chiroptera; Vespertilionidae
Source: Rfam